This 533-nucleotide long non-coding RNA is filed under the name Homo sapiens (human). Its description in RNAcentral is "non-protein coding lnc-KRT17-2:2". The record is from RNAcentral. Lineage: Eukaryota; Metazoa; Chordata; Mammalia; Primates; Hominidae.
GGGAAGCUCCACAUUCAGACAGGCCUGGUGCAGACGCCGGUGUCCUGGCAGCACCUAAAUCAUUAGUGCCGCGGAGAUUAGGAUACUAAUCUCCUUGUUGGGUGGAGCGGUGCCAGCCACCAGCCUGCGGAUCAUGCUGCUCUUUUGCAGGGGCCGUUCCUCGGGGCAUGACGCUGGCUCCUGCACAGAUCCUGCUCCUCUGUGGCCUUCCUGGGCUGCCCUCCCCUCCUCCGGGACUGCUCUGGACUGACAUUGCUCAGAUUUUUACUCUUGUUGCCCAGGCUGGAGUGCAAUGGUGUGAUCUCGGCUCACUGCAACCUCCACCUCCCAGGUUCAAGCUAUUCUCCUGCCUCAGCCUCCUGAGUAGCUGGGAUUACAGAUCCUGGUGGCUGUGGUCGGUAAUUCCAGCUUCGUGCUGGCUACAGGUGGAUGAUGCCCACCUGGCUGCCGAUGACCUCUGCACCAAGUGAGGCUGGGUCUCUGGAGCUGCCCCAGGGGCUGGACAAGCUGACCCUGGCCGGGGCCAACCUGGA